Molecule: ribosomal RNA, 408 nt
Filed under: uncultured bacterium
Lineage: Bacteria
Description: partial 16S ribosomal RNA
Rfam family: Bacterial small subunit ribosomal RNA
Source: RNAcentral
GACGAACGCUGGCGGCGUGCUUAACACAUGCAAGUCGAACGGAGUGGCGAACGGGUGAGUAACACGUGGGUGACCCCCCCUUCACUUCGGGAUACGCCUGGGAAACGGGGCCUAAUACUGGACAGUGGGGGAUGGGCUCGCGGCCUAUCAGCUUGUUGGUGGGGUAAUGGCCUACCAAGGCGGCGACGGGUAGCCGGCCUGGGAGGGUGGACGGCCACAUUGGGACUGAGACACGGCCCAGACUCCUACUGGAGGCAGCAGUGGGGAAUAUUGCACAAGGGGGGGAAGCCUGAUGCAGCGACGCCGCGUGGGGGAUGACGGCCUUCGGGUUGUAAACUCCUUUCACCAUCGACGCGGUAGAUGGAGAAGAAGCACCGGCUAACUACGUGCCAGCAGCCGCGGUAAUAC